RNAcentral lists this ribosomal RNA (253 nucleotides) under uncultured bacterium. RNAcentral's name for it is "partial 16S ribosomal RNA". It matches the Rfam family "Bacterial small subunit ribosomal RNA", at positions 524 to 776 of the family's 1533-position model. The record is from RNAcentral.
UACGUAGGGGGCUAGCGUUGUCCGGAUUUAUUGGGCGUAAAGAGCGUGUAGGCGGCCAAACAAGUCCGACGUGAAAUCUGGAGGCUUAACCUCCAGCGGUCGUUGGAAACUGUGUGGCUAGAGUCCGGAAGAGGAGAGUGGAAUUCCUGGUGUAGCAGUGAAAUGCGCAGAUAUCAGGAAGAACACCUAUGGCGAAAGCAGCUCUCUAGGACGGUACUGACGCUGAGACGCGAAAGCGUGGGGAGCGAACAGG